RNAcentral lists this ribosomal RNA (399 nucleotides) under uncultured bacterium. Its description in RNAcentral is "bacterial SSU rRNA". It matches the Rfam family "Bacterial small subunit ribosomal RNA", at positions 359 to 775 of the family's 1533-position model. The record is from RNAcentral.
GAAUAUUGGGCAAUGGGCGAAAGCCUGAUCCAGCCAUGCCGCGUGAGUGAUGAAGGCCUUAGGGUUGUAAAGCUCUUUCACCGGGGAAGAAAAUGACGGAACCCGGAGAAGAAGCCCCGGCUAACUCCGUGCCAGCAGCCGCGGUAAUACGGAGGGGGCUAGCGUUGUUCGGAAUUACUGGGCGUAAAGCGCGCGUAGGCGGCUUGGCAAGUUAGGUGUGAAAGCCCGGGGCUUAACCCCGGAAUUGCACUUAAAACUGCUAGGCUAGAGGCCGAGAGAGGUGAGUGGAAUUCCCAGUGUAGAGGUGAAAUUCGUAGAUAUUGGGAAGAACACCAGUGGCGAAGGCGGCUCACUGGCUCGGUUCUGACGCUGAGGUGCGAAAGCGUGGGGAGCAAACAG